Bubalus bubalis (water buffalo) is the source of this 434-nucleotide long non-coding RNA. RefSeq lists it as uncharacterized. The transcript has 2 exons. NCBI's taxonomy places the organism in Eukaryota, Metazoa, Chordata, Mammalia, Artiodactyla, Bovidae. The record is from RefSeq and is a predicted model, not a curated record.
UUGUGGAGACGUGUCUGAACCUCUCGACCCCCUCUUUGUUGUAGAUUUCUCUUGCUUUAGUUUCUUUUCUCAGCCCCGCCGUGCACGUUCUCGGGACCUGAUCGACUUUGCCGGCUGGCACCUGCAGGCGGCGCCCGAACAGGGACUCGGGAAUCUGAGCGCGACCGCCGCCCGCCAAGAUUGAAGAUGCCAAAGCACUGCGCUGGCUGCUGGAAAGGUUGGUACGCACAGCGGAGACGAUCGCUAGUAAACCAGAUGAGGAGAUUGACUAUUCAAGAGCAUGAUGAAUUACCAUCUCGGCAACAACUUCAGGCAUUGAUGCGAGAGGCACAGAAUCGUGUUGCUGUACAGGGCGAUCUGAUAUCGCCUUUAAGCUUUCUGAUAACCUUAUUAAUUAUCUUAAAUCAGAUUAAUACUGCACAUUCUGAAGAAUA